This is a non-coding RNA of Pangasianodon gigas (Mekong giant catfish), 71 nucleotides long. The record is from the annotation of a GenBank genome assembly. NCBI's taxonomy places the organism in Eukaryota, Metazoa, Chordata, Actinopteri, Siluriformes, Pangasiidae.
GUCUGGAUAAAGUCAAAGAGAAGCUCCAAAACAUCGAAAACAUACUAAGAACUAACAUGUCUUCCGGACCA